Long non-coding RNA from Heterocephalus glaber (naked mole-rat), 1540 nucleotides. RefSeq lists it as uncharacterized. The record is from RefSeq and is a predicted model, not a curated record. NCBI's taxonomy places the organism in Eukaryota, Metazoa, Chordata, Mammalia, Rodentia, Bathyergidae.
CCAGGUUCUCAUGUGGUCCCAAAGCUAUUUCACAUCUCAUUGUUUAGCUGGAUGAGAUCUGAUCAUGUGUGUUCUCCAGUCUCUAACCUGGUGCAGAGAAUCAACCAGUUCUGAAGCAAAACUCAGCUUUAUUAAAGGAAACAGAGUGGAAGGCCAAGGAGUUUAGUCUCAAGAGAAAAAGAUCCUAAUGAGAAUGAGUAAUUUGUUAAACCAAACAUCACCAGUGAUUUCUAGGGGGAAAUUCUCCUCUUCUUCAGUGUCAUGAGCAUAUGGAGUUUCCUAUGUAGGAUAAAUAUAGAAAAUUCAGAAAUACGGAAAAUAAAUGUGUGUCUUUUUCCAUCCAUGAAAGUAAGCAAAGAGCAAACCCAGCAAGUACUUUGUCAAAGGAAUGCCUCUAGCUGGCUAUUUUGCUGCCCAUUCAGAUUAAAUAUACCCAAGAGAACUGUUCACUACCUUUACACUCCUCUGGUUCCAAGGAAGUACUGUGUUAGGAAAACAACCAAACAAAUGAACAAAUAUGACUUCUGGAAUCAACAGACCUUAGUUUCAAUCAAGUCCUCUCCUAUAGCAGUUGUGUAAAUCUGGAGAUGGUUGAAGACUAUUGACCCUCAAGUUAUCAAAAGUUUUUAACACAUUAAAAAAUGGAACAGGAAGGAAGAUGAAAAGAUAGACUGCCAAACCUGUAAUACCCCAGUCUACGAAACUUAAGUUCAACAGGGCAAUGAAUAAGAAAUACUUCUCAACAAACAAAGAAUGGUUUACAACCAUGGAGGCAUUCUGAGAGAAGUAAAUAUGUCAUCGAUUUUAAAUAGCAGUAUUAUCCAGAAGAGAACAGAUCAAUAGAAGUUGCAUAGGUUUUCAGAUGCUUCAGGAUAUUAAAGAACAAUCCCAUUUCCCCCUCCAUAAACCGUUCCAUCCAGAAGAGUAAUUUAAAAUGUGUCAUAAAUCAUUACCUGCUCAGCAACCAAUCAACAUCCAGGAAAAGUUAUAUCUCCCCCUAUUCUGCCUUGGAACAAUCAGAAAUGUUCUCAUUUUUGCUAAAACACAGGCCUGCCUGGUCCAGCCCUUUUGACUGGAUACAUGGGAGAAAAUAAAUUUUCUUUCAGAUUUAAUAUGGCAAAUACGAAAAGAAAAAACUGAUACAUUUCUUCAAAUAACUUAAAAGUACUGAAUGAUUUUUACUUAGGUGAUGUUCAUUACAUCCUUGUAAAUGAGUUGGUAAUGUUUAUUGCUGUUUCAAGAAAGCAUGAACAGAUACAGGUAAAUACAAAGAUUUGCUCCAUGCACAAGAUAGAAAGAUGAAGACUCAUAAUGAAAAAAGACUCAGAUUUUCAUGAGUGGUGUCAACACUCUAUGUAUGAUCCCACCUUCCUUGUUAGCCUGGAUGUUACUCUUAGAAAGUAAGAUUAUUCAUUCAUUGCCAAUUAUUUUCUGACCUUUUCAUUUUCUGAAGUUUUGUGUUGUUAAAAAAAAAGGUACAUUCUAUGAACUCUGGGAGUUUGUGCUAGUAAAAGAUAAAAUGUGUAAUCAAAUAGCUUUU